CCUACGGGUGGCUGCAGUAGGGAAUCUUCGGCAAUGGGGGCAACCCUGACCGAGCAACGCCGCGUGAGUGAAGAAGGUUUUCGGAUCGUAAAACUCUGUUGUUAGAGAAGAACGUUAAGUAGAGUGGAAAAUUACUUAAGUGACGGUAUCUAACCAGAAAGGGACGGCUAACUACGGGCCAGCAGUCGCGGUAAUACGUAGGGCCCAAGCGUUGCACGGAUUUGUUGGGCGUAAAGCGAGCGCAGGUGGUUUCUUAAGUAUGCUUGAAAAGGCAGUGGCUCAACCAUUGUGUGCAUUGGAAACUGGGAGACUUGAGUGCAGGAGAGGAGAGUGGAAUUCCAUGUGUAGCGGUGAAAUGCGUAGAUAUAUGGAGGAACACCGGAGGCGAAAGCGGCUCUCUGGCCUGUAACUGACACUGAGGCUCGAAAGCGUGGGGAGCAAACAGGAUUAGAUACCCUUGUAGUC
RNAcentral lists this ribosomal RNA (465 nucleotides) under uncultured Lactococcus sp. Its description in RNAcentral is "bacterial SSU rRNA". It matches the Rfam family "Bacterial small subunit ribosomal RNA", at positions 338 to 795 of the family's 1533-position model. The record is from RNAcentral. Lineage: Bacteria; Bacillati; Bacillota; Bacilli; Lactobacillales; Streptococcaceae.